GCUCUCUCUUUCUCCCCUCUCAUUAUGAAACACGCUGGGGCAGCUAAGGAAUGGGGGAGAAACACCAAACCCUCACUCAUAAAUUCAAUCCUCCAUAACUUUUGAUCCAGAACUCCAAUUGAUGUGUCAUUUGCGACCACGCGACCACAACGUCGAGCUCUACAAAGUCCAGUCCUUUAUUAGGUUCGAAUUAACUUGUGGGUAUUGUCGAGUUUAGCUCAUUAGAGCUAUAGGUCAGAUGAAGGACGUGAAGCACCUCGCUGAGGCAUACUGAAAGCUUCUGAUAGCGGAGAUCCUUGUUUUUGGGACUUUAUUUUAAAUAUAUGUAUAUAUGUAGAUACUUUUAUCUCCACUACUUAUGUACUGGUGUAUUAACUUCCUCUUAGAGGUUAUUUUGGAGAAAUAGGUUCUGUAACUCUGUAUCUUGGGCUUAUUUUGGGUUCUCUUAUAUAUAUGUUAUAUACUUAUGUGCUCAAGCCGGUUUGUCUUUGCAAGCCGAGUCUUGAGUUUUGAUAUUUGUACC
Long non-coding RNA from Arachis stenosperma, 523 nucleotides. RefSeq lists it as uncharacterized. The record is from RefSeq and is a predicted model, not a curated record. The transcript is spliced from 3 exons. Lineage: Eukaryota; Viridiplantae; Streptophyta; Magnoliopsida; Fabales; Fabaceae.